Molecule: ribosomal RNA, 250 nt
Filed under: uncultured bacterium
Lineage: Bacteria
Description: partial 16S ribosomal RNA
Rfam family: Bacterial small subunit ribosomal RNA
Source: RNAcentral
CGAUGUACACUAGGUGUCGGGGCAAGAGCUUCGGUGCCGACGCAAACGCAUUAAGUGUACCGCCUGGGAAGUAUGCCCGCAAGGGUGAAACUCAAAGGAAUUGACGGGGGCCCACACAAGCGGUGGAGCAUGUGGUUUAAUUCGAUGAUACGCGAGAAACCUUACCUGGGUUUGACAUCAAGAGCAAUGACAUAGAGAUAUGGCAGCGUAGCAAUACGGCUCUUGACAGGUGCUGCAUGGCUGUCGUCAG